RNAcentral lists this ribosomal RNA (775 nucleotides) under uncultured Neocallimastigales. Its description in RNAcentral is "partial large subunit ribosomal RNA". It matches the Rfam family "Eukaryotic large subunit ribosomal RNA", at positions 22 to 649 of the family's 3401-position model. The record is from RNAcentral. Lineage: Eukaryota; Fungi; Neocallimastigomycota; Neocallimastigomycetes; Neocallimastigales.
GUACACGCUGUGACUAGCAUAUCAAUAAGCGGAGGAAAAGAAACUAACAAGGAUUCCCUCAGUAACGGCGAGUGAAGCGGGAAGAGCUCAAAUUUGAAAUCUUGAAAGGUCACCUUUCACGAAUUGUAGUUUAAAGAAGUGUUUUCUGUUACGAUCGUAAUAUAAGUUCUUUGGAAUAGGACAUCACAGAGGGUGAGAAUCCCGUCUAUGAUUGCGAUUUGUAGCUUUGUGAUACACUUUCAAAGAGUCGGGUUGUUUGGGAAUGCAGCCCAAAACGGGAGGUAAAUUUCUUCUAAGGCUAAAUAUUGGCGAGAGACCGAUAGCGAACAAGUACCGUGAGGGAAAGAUGAAAAGAACUUUGAAAAGAGAGUUAAAUAGUACGUGAAAUUGUCAAAAGGGAAGCGUUUGACACCAGUGUUGUUUUCUCGAAAAUCAAUUAAAAAUGGCUCGAUUUUGUAUUGCUUGAGACCUUAAAAGCUCACUGUACAUUUUUCGUGUCUUUUUUAAUGCACUUUUCGUUUAACAAGUCAACAUCAGUUUCUUUUGUUGUAAAAGGGUCAUUGGAAGGUGGCUUUCUUUUCGGAGAAAGUGUUUAUAGCCUUUGGCCUCUGCAAUCGAAGAGACUGAGGUCUGCAGCGUAGACUCUUCGGGUUAGAUACAUUUGUAGCUAAGUUAUAGCUUUUUAUAGACAACUUGUUGACUAUAAUUAGUCUUGUAGCUUACUCGCUUAUGCUAUUUUACCUACGCUUAGGAUGUUGAGUAGCGACAUACGCAC